GACGGAGGGGGCUAGCGUUGUUCGGAAUCAUUGGGCGUAAAGGGCGCGUAGGUGGCUUCUUAAGCGUGCGGUGAAAGCUCGGGGCUCAACUCCGAGUCGGCCGUGCGAACUGGGCUCACUGGAGCAUAGUAGAGGCAGGUGGAAUUCCGGGUGUAGCGGUGGAAUGCGUAGAGAUCCGGAAGAACACCGGUGGCGAAGGCGGCCUGCUGGGCUAUGGCUGACACUGAGGCGCGACAGCGUGGGGAGCAAACAGG
This 254-nucleotide ribosomal RNA is filed under the name uncultured bacterium. RNAcentral describes it as "partial 16S ribosomal RNA". It matches the Rfam family "Bacterial small subunit ribosomal RNA", at positions 524 to 776 of the family's 1533-position model. The record is from RNAcentral.